GAAAUGCGAUACUUGGUGUGAAUUGCAGAAUCCCGUGAACCAUCGAGUCUUUGAACGCAAGUUGCGCCCGAAGCCAUUAGGCCGAGGGCACGCCUGCCUGGGUGUCACACAUCGUUUCCCCAACGCAAACAUGUAACAAUGUUGCUGCGCGGGGUGUAUGCUGACCUCCCGCGAGCACCCGCCUCGUGGUUGGUUGAAAUCUGGGUUCAUGGCCGACUUCGCCGUGAUAAAAUGGUGGAUGAGCCACGCUCGUUGCGUGCACGCACGCUCCCAACGAGACCUCAGGUCAGGCGGGGCUACCCGCUGAGUUUAA
This 313-nucleotide unclassified non-coding RNA is filed under the name uncultured fungus. RNAcentral's name for it is "sequence contains ITS1". The stretch from base 1 to 107 matches the Rfam family "5.8S ribosomal RNA", at positions 50 to 154 of the family's 154-position model. The record is from RNAcentral. Lineage: Eukaryota; Fungi.